CAAUAGCGUAUAUUAAAGUUGUUGCAGUUAAAAAGCUCGUAGUUGGAUUUGUGGUGUACUUCGGCGGCCCGUCACUAUGUGAUGGAGCUUGCUGAAGUCGCCAUCCUUGGGUGGAUCCUGUGUGGCAUUAAGUUGUCGUGCAGGGGAUGCCCAUCGUUUACUGUGAAAAAAUUAGAGUGUUCAAAGCAGGCUUAUGCCGUUGAAUAUAUUAGCAUGGAAUAAUAAGAUAGGACCUUGGUACUAUUUUGUUGGUUUGCGCACCAAGGUAAUGAUUAAUAGGGACAGUUGGGGGUAUUCGUAUUUCAUUGUCGGAGGUGAAAUUCUUGGAUUUUUGAAAGACGAACUACUGCGAAAGCAUUUACCAAGGAUGUUUUCAUUAA
Molecule: ribosomal RNA, 380 nt
Filed under: uncultured eukaryote
Lineage: Eukaryota
Description: partial 18S ribosomal RNA
Rfam family: Eukaryotic small subunit ribosomal RNA
Source: RNAcentral